This 158-nucleotide ribosomal RNA is filed under the name uncultured bacterium. RNAcentral describes it as "partial 16S ribosomal RNA". It matches the Rfam family "Bacterial small subunit ribosomal RNA", at positions 355 to 509 of the family's 1533-position model. The record is from RNAcentral.
UGAGGAAUAUUGGUCAAUGGGCGCGAGCCUGAACCAGCCAAGUCGCGUGAGGGAUGACGGCCCUACGGGUUGUAAACCUCUUUGUCGGGGAGCAAAUUCCGCCACGUGUGGCGGAGUCGAGAGUACCCGAAGAAAAAGCAUCGGCUAACCUCCGUGCC